RNAcentral lists this non-coding RNA (31 nucleotides) under Rattus norvegicus (Norway rat). Lineage: Eukaryota; Metazoa; Chordata; Mammalia; Rodentia; Muridae. The record is from RNAcentral.
UGACUGUGCGGCCGAUGCCUAUGGUCCCAGU